Molecule: long non-coding RNA, 329 nt
Filed under: Elaeis guineensis (African oil palm)
Lineage: Eukaryota; Viridiplantae; Streptophyta; Magnoliopsida; Arecales; Arecaceae
Description: long non-coding RNA (EGUI_LNC052645)
Source: RNAcentral
UAGCAAGGACCCAAGUGACUAGGGAUCAAAAAAAUAUGCAAUCAAACUAAAUAGCCUCACUAUGAAUAGCCAACACACUGCAAGUCAAAAGAUCAGUCACACUACUAUAGCAUCAAAAAAAUCACUGAUAAGUGAGUGGAUAUCUAAGUAGUUUCUUAUGUUGAUCAUGCUCAGUACAAGUUAUUCUCUAAUAAUCAUCUGUACUCUCACCCCAGUAUCCUCACAUUGCAUACUCGAGAUUCAUCUGCCCAGAAGGAAGGCGAUCCAUACACCAAUCUUAACAAGAUCAAUCACAAUCUCUUGUGACAAUCCUAUGAUCGGAAGUAUUU